RNAcentral lists this ribosomal RNA (253 nucleotides) under uncultured bacterium. RNAcentral's name for it is "partial 16S ribosomal RNA". It matches the Rfam family "Bacterial small subunit ribosomal RNA", at positions 524 to 776 of the family's 1533-position model. The record is from RNAcentral.
UACGUAGGGUGCGAGCGUUGUCCGGAAUUAUUGGGCGUAAAGAGCUCGUAGGCGGUCUGUCGCGUCGGAUGUGAAAACUCGGGGCUCAACCCCGAGCCUGCAUUCGAUACGGGCAGACUAGAGUUCGGUAGGGGAGACUGGAAUUCCUGGUGUAGCGGUGGAAUGCGCAGAUAUCAGGAGGAACACCGGUGGCGAAGGCGGCUUCUUGGGCCGUUCCUGACGCUGAGGCGCGAAAGCCAGGGGAGCGAACGGG